Molecule: long non-coding RNA, 956 nt
Organism: Rosa rugosa (rugosa rose)
Lineage: Eukaryota; Viridiplantae; Streptophyta; Magnoliopsida; Rosales; Rosaceae
Exons: 3
Source: RefSeq, a predicted model, not a curated record
UUCUUCUUGUGUGGACAAAAACUUAUUUUUGGCUGAACUAAAACAGAUCUUUUAAUAGACCUAGACCCGGCCCCGUGCUUUCCCACACUUGGUGAAAAAAAAUCAGAAAACUCAUUUUCCAUCUCCCAAACCUAGUAGCACCUCUUCUUCGAUGCUCUUCCACCCUCGUUGCUCUCUCAUAUCGGUCUACAAACCAACAACCAAAGCCGGCCGGGUCAAGUCAAGUUCUUCAAGGAAAUAGAAAUUGAAGCGUAGAGAUGAGAGAAGACAGUACGAAGAGAGAGAAAGUAGAUCUGGUUUCUCAAUUCUCCAUCUUCUACCUCCGAGCAUCAUCCGGUGACAUCGCCACUACCAAUGGACUCUUCGGCCUCCAAUUAGUUGACCCAGGCUGCGUCAUCCAACGAUAUCGAAAGUCAGCACCACAUGCUUCCGACUGCGAGUCCGGAUCUACACCCAACAGAGAUCACAGAAUCGGGAGCGAUUUGGGGAUUUAGGGUUUUGAAAUCGAAAGCGUCGUCGUUUUCGAAAUGGCGUUGGGCAAGGUGAAGGAGCUCGUCUCGUCCAAUCUGGUAGUCAUCUUCAGCAACAAGCUUUGUCUUUACUGUGUUUGCGUGAAGCAGCUCUUCGUUCUAAAAUUGGGAGUCCAGUACAAGGCCAUUGAAUUGGACCAAGAGAAGAUUAGUAUUUUCUUUUGGGAUUUAGUUAUUCCCCCAACACAGAGAAAGGGACGAGACGAAACAAAAAGAGAGAGAGAGAGAGAGACAAGAGAACAAGCAAGAACGAAAAGAAGGAGAAGAGAGAGACGGGAAGCUCUUGCUUAGAUUGGUAAGAUUUUGGUUUAGUAGAGUCAAUACCAACGUACUUUAAACUGAUUUCCUUGAAUUAGUUAUUUGUAUGCAGUUUUCUAGCUAUCCUAAUCGGUCUUUCGUUUGCUUUGUAUCCAGUACUUUUUGCGU